UGAAGAUGUGCAGUCCUGGUCUGACUGGACUCAUCUAGCCGGAGAAACACAAAUGCACCAAACGGAAAACCUGACUGGACAAAGGUUGGGUAAAACUCAGAUCCUUUCCCAUUUCCAGUAAGGAUUAAAGAGGAAGUGGAUUAUUGUCUUGUGGUUUGGAAGGUGCACAGCUGUGGUGGCGGGUCUGAUGAAUUGUCUCAGCUUACCCAGGACCAAAGGGGAGCUCCCUGGACAUGGAACUCUCAGUGCUAAGGAAAGUCCUGAACAAGCUUUUUAUUAUGGCCUGUGAAAGCAGUAGAAGAUGGCCCAAGUCCUUGGGCUCUGCACUUGUGUGGGAAGACUUGGAGGAAGCUCCUGGCUCCUGGCUUCGGAUUGGCGCAGCUCCAGCUGUUGCUGCCAAUUGGGGAGUGAACCAGCAGAUGGAAGACCCUUCUCUUUCUCUUUGCCUCUCCUUUUCUCUCUGUGUA
This is a long non-coding RNA of Lepus europaeus (European hare), 467 nucleotides long. RefSeq lists it as uncharacterized. The transcript has 3 exons. The record is from RefSeq and is a predicted model, not a curated record. NCBI's taxonomy places the organism in Eukaryota, Metazoa, Chordata, Mammalia, Lagomorpha, Leporidae.